GUGCCAGCCGCCGCGGUAAUACGAAGGGGGCUAGCGUUGUUCGGAAUUACUGGGCGUAAAAGCGCACGUAGGCGGACACUUAAGUCAGGGGUGAAAUCCCGGGGCUCAACCUCGGAAUUGCCUCUGAUACUGGGUGUCUCGAGUCCGAGAGAGGUGAGUGGAACUCCGAGUGUAGAGGUGAAAUUCGUAGAUAUUCGGAAGAACACCAGUGGCGAAGGCGGCUCACUGGCUCGGUACUGACGCUGAGGUGCGAAA
This 255-nucleotide ribosomal RNA is filed under the name uncultured Stappia sp. RNAcentral's name for it is "partial 16S ribosomal RNA". It matches the Rfam family "Bacterial small subunit ribosomal RNA", at positions 505 to 758 of the family's 1533-position model. Lineage: Bacteria; Pseudomonadati; Pseudomonadota; Alphaproteobacteria; Hyphomicrobiales; Stappiaceae. The record is from RNAcentral.